UAAUACAGAGGGGGCAAGCGUUGUUCGGAAUUACUGGGCGUAAAGGGCGCGUAGGCGGCCUGCUAAGUCGAUCGUGAAAUCCCCGGGCUCAACCCGGGAACUGCGACCGAUACUGGUUGGCUUGGAUCCGGGAGAGGGAUGCGGAAUUCCAGGUGUAGCGGUGAAAUGCGUAGAUAUCUGGAGGAACACCGGUGGCGAAGGCGGCAUCCUGGACCGGCAUUGACGCUGAGGCGCGAAAGCCAGGGGAGCAAACGGGAUUAGAUACCCCGGUAGUCCUGGCCCUAAACGAUGAAUGCUUGGUGUAGCGGGUAUCGAUCCCUGCUGUGCCGAAGCUAACGCAUUAAGCAUUCCGCCUGGGGAGUACGGUCGCAAGGCU
Molecule: ribosomal RNA, 376 nt
Filed under: uncultured bacterium
Lineage: Bacteria
Description: bacterial SSU rRNA
Rfam family: Bacterial small subunit ribosomal RNA
Source: RNAcentral